GUACUUACCUGACAUUGGACAUACCAGGAUGACUAAGGUGGGAUUAUCAGGAAGAGGCUCGUUUAUUGCAUUCCAGGUGUGUUGACUCCUGCGAUUUCCCCAAAUGCGGGAAGCUCAACUGUGUGAUUUAUGGUAGUGAGGGACUGCAUUUGCAUUCUCUGA
RNAcentral lists this small nuclear RNA (162 nucleotides) under Erpetoichthys calabaricus (reedfish). RNAcentral describes it as "U1 spliceosomal RNA (ENSECRG00000013677.1)". It matches the Rfam family "U1 spliceosomal RNA". Rfam says of the family: U1 is a small nuclear RNA (snRNA) component of the spliceosome (involved in pre-mRNA splicing). Its 5' end forms complementary base pairs with the 5' splice junction, thus defining the 5' donor site of an intron. Lineage: Eukaryota; Metazoa; Chordata; Cladistia; Polypteriformes; Polypteridae. The record is from Rfam by way of RNAcentral.